GCUUUAUCUGCAGAGUUUGAUCAUGGCUCAGGAUGAACGCUGGCGGCGUGCUUAACACAUGCAAGUCGAACGAUGACUUCUGUGCUUGCACAGAAUGAUUAGUGGCGAACGGGUGAGUAACACGUGAGUAACCUGCCCUUAACUUCGGGAUAAGCCUGGGAAACCGGGUCUAAUACCGGAUCCGGAUACGACCUCCUGGCGCAUGCCAUGGUGGUGGAAAGCUUUAGCGGUUUUGGAUGGACUCGCGGCCUAUCAGCUUGUUGGUUGGGGUAAUGGCCCACCAAGGCGACGACGGGAGCCGGCCUGAGAGGGACNGCCACACUGAUGNCCGCAC
This 334-nucleotide ribosomal RNA is filed under the name Arthrobacter sp. cna2. RNAcentral describes it as "bacterial SSU rRNA". It matches the Rfam family "Bacterial small subunit ribosomal RNA", at positions 1 to 325 of the family's 1533-position model. Lineage: Bacteria; Bacillati; Actinomycetota; Actinomycetes; Micrococcales; Micrococcaceae. The record is from RNAcentral.